CAGUCAGUGGGAGGCAACGGUGCAGCCGUGCAGUUUUUACAGCCCCGUGCUCCCUGGAGAACCCCAGUGCUUUCUCUAGGACGUAUCAGUCAGACGGCAGAGGAAACAUCCAAAAUGCUGGGAACAUCCUGUGUCACGGUGUCUCCCUGGCCCCCAGAGAAGGAAACGGAAGUGACACUUCCCAGCUUAGAGGUUUUGCAGCUGCUGUUCCUUCUGCCCAGAAUCCUUUUCCACGUGAUCAUCACACAGUGGACCAGUGAGUCAGGCAUGUGAAGCACUUAGGAGUCUGGCUGCCCUCAGGGACCACCCUGGAGGGACUGUGUAGGGAGAGGGGUGGCCAGGUAGCUCCAGCUACUAGGAGGAGAAAAGCCUUCGAGAUGAGCCCAGGCCCAGCUCCCUGCAGUCGCGAGAGAAAGCCUGAGUGAGAACUUCAGAGAGAGCCCAGGUACCCCCAGACUCGUGAGCCACGGCUUUGGAACAGUUUGUUACUCAGCAUCAGCUCACUGCAGCAGACCUGCAAGGCCGACCCCACUGUGCCUUCUGGGCAGAGGGCAUCUGAUGCCAACAAGCUACCGUGAGGAGCUCCCACCCCAGCUGAGUCUCUUAGCAAAAGCCCAGGGACCGACUCACCUGGGCUGCAUCUCAGGAAAGCACCGAGGCCAGGGCUGUGGGGAGGGUGACCACACUGACUGGGGGUCAUGUGACUUUGCAGACAGAGACAACAAGGGAGGGAAAUGGCAGCCCAUGUCUCCACCCAAAUCCACAAAAGCUUCUAAGAAGGAAACCAAGCAAGGAGGCCAGGAAGUCAUGCCUGAGUUCUGCGGGUGUCGGGAAUUUUCACAUGGGUUUCCCUUCCAUCCUCCCCACCGCCUCGUGAUUUAGGUGACAUCAACGGCCCUCUAGAGAGGAGAUCAGAGACACAGAGCAAGGUGUCCAUGGGCACAGCCACAGAGCUCGGAUUCGGACCCGAUUUGUCUGAUUCCAACUUUCUCCAUCAGUAAGCAAAGCACGUGAGAGGAAGGAGAGGGGAGAUUGUCCUCCGCGCUGGGACCCACAACCACAGAACUACGCAAGGCAAACACAACAGAGAUUAGAAUGCUGGGGUUUGUUCUCAUGGGCCUCAAUAUCCGUUCUUCCACUGAAGAGAGGACCUCGUUCACAGCUGUGUCCCCGACAUCUGGAACAAGACCUGGCCCCGAGC
Molecule: long non-coding RNA, 1201 nt
Organism: Bos taurus (domestic cattle)
Lineage: Eukaryota; Metazoa; Chordata; Mammalia; Artiodactyla; Bovidae
Source: Ensembl